UACGUAGGGUGCGAGCGUUGCCCGGAAUUAUUGGGCGUAAAGCGCACGUAGGCGGUUCGUUAUGUCGGAUGUGAAAGCCCUUGGCUUAACCGAGGAAGUGCAUCCGAAACUGGCGAGCUAGAGUACUAAAGAGGAUCGCGGAAUUCCCGGUGUAGAGGUGAAAUUCGUAGAUAUCGGGAGGAACACCGGUGGCGAAGGCGGCGAUCUGGGUAGAUACUGACGCUGAGGUGCGAAAGCGUGGGGAGCAAACAGG
RNAcentral lists this ribosomal RNA (253 nucleotides) under uncultured bacterium. RNAcentral's name for it is "partial 16S ribosomal RNA". It matches the Rfam family "Bacterial small subunit ribosomal RNA", at positions 524 to 776 of the family's 1533-position model. The record is from RNAcentral.